AACCUCUUAUGGGUGUUGUCAGCGUGAGUAAAUAAAGAAUUGUUAUGGAUGCUUUUGGUUUGACGAUAAACUGUGGGCUCACUUUUUGUUUGCUGUUUUGCUUUAGAAGAAAGUUCAAAUUCAAUGACUCUGAGCAACCCUGUGGAAAAAGUGGCCUAUCUUACAAUAUUCCAUAUUCUCUUUGUGCUCUUCGUGUGGACAUAUUGGAAGUCUAUUUUUACUCUCCCAGUGCAGCCAGAUAAAAAGUACCAUAUGUCCUAUGCUGACAAAGAGCGCUAUGAAAACGAAGAAAGGCCGGAGGUGCAGAGGCAAAUUCUUGCCGAAAUUGCAAGGAAAUUGCCAGUGUACACAAGAACGGGGAAUGGAGGUAUCCGAUUCUGUGAUAGAUGCCAGCUAAUAAAACCUGAUCGUUGUCACCAUUGUUCUGUUUGUGCUAUAUGUGUGCUAAAAAUGGAUCAUCACUGUCCGUGGGUGAAUAACUGCAUUGGAUUUUCUAACUACAAAUUCUUUCUACUGUUCUUAGCCUAUUCUUUGUUGUAUUGCUUGUAUAUUGCUGCAACAGUCUUCAAGUAUUUCAUUAAGUAUUGGACAGGUGAGCUGACUAAUGGACGUUCCAAAUUUCAUGUCCUUUUCCUUCUCUUUGUGGCGGUCAUGUUCUUCGUAAGCCUGAUGUUUCUGUUUGGCUACCACUGUUGGCUUGUCAGUAGAAACAGAUCUACUUUAGAGGCUUUCUCAGCUCCGGUGUUUCAAAAUGGCCCGGAUAAAAAUGGAUUCAAUCUCGGCUUUGUAAAGAACCUUCAGCAAGUGUUCGGAGAAGAAAAAAAGCUCUGGUUACUACCCGUCGUCUCUAGCCAGGGGGAUGGGCAUUUUUUCCCCAUGAGAGCUUUGUGUGAAGCUCAGAAUCCUCUCCUAGCAAAUGAAGAGCAGUGGGAAGAUGAUGGAAUAGAUGAAGAGCCACAUGGUAAGGUUCCAAUGAAGCUUCAUCCCUUGCCAUAGAAAGGGAGACGUAGCGCUCUGAAAAUGCAACAAUACAAAGCUUGUUCAGAAAGCUUCCCUCUCAGGAGCCAACAUCCCUUCUCUUUUCAUGGACUUCAGUUUUGAGGGUCAGAAAACAAAUGGAUCUUCAAGAUGAGAAAACGUCAUGAAGUAUCAACUGAUUGGAAUCUGCAUUCUAGAGUGCUUCUCCAGAAAUCCUGCUGCACAGAUGUUUCAAGGCUUUAUAAGUUUAAGUUAUGGAGUGAACAGAACAGUUUUAUAGAGUGAUUCUGGCCAGUCUUCUUUGGCCUGCUCUCUUUAUUUUAUAAAUAAUAUAUAUUUUUUAUUCAAAAUAGGCGAAAAAAAUAUUGAUGUGAGUGCACUUCCAAAAGCCUUUUCACUUUGCAGACAUCAGGGACUCAAGCUCUCAGAAUUCUUCCAAGCCAUAAUAUUCUUGGGAAACCUAUUUAUUUUGAGACUGGUUCUCCAACCUUCUCUGACAAGUGGCAUUUUCUAAUAAGUGUUUAAAGUCCUAUCUGAGUAAGCUCAGCUCAGUGAGAGACAGACUUGCAUAAAUUUGGGACUAAAUUGGUAGUUGGAUGUGUGUGUUGAAUGCAAAAGUGCUGAACAUGCAUAUACAUGUGCAGCUGUGUAUGGAAAUAAAAUAGUUAGUCAUAUUGCCAGUAUCAAGAUUCAAGAAUAUUGUGGCCACUGAUGCUUUUUUCUAGGAGGGUGUCGUUGUCUUAGAUUGUGAGUUAUAGUGCCCUUAAAGCUGAAUCCUACUUGCAGGUACCUAAAAUUCUGAAGGGAAUUUUAGACAGUACAGUUUGCAUUAAUUCCUAGGGCUAGGGCUAAAAUGACAGAAUUUGCAUGGCAAUUAGAGUAUUAUCACCUUAUCCCAGGAUCAGUGUUUCAUGGGAUUUUUUGUAUUUAUGGAGUCAGAAAGGAAGGUGUUAAUUUGAAACAGAUGAGUUGGAAAUGUGCACUGAAUAUUUAGCUCCAACAGUAGCAUUUGGAGUUUACCCUUCACAAAGGUGGUUUUAGUCUCAUAAUGCUGAAGAGACAACAACUGAUGUCCUGAAUUAGGUCAGACUUCUUCCUGAGUGAAUGUAUUGACUGGUGUUGUAAAGAUUUUUUUUUUUUUCCCCCAACACCAAGAGGUGAUCAGAUUUUUUUUCUAUAUUUGACUCCAUUUGCAGUCAAAGGAAAGUGUCAGUGUUUUUAUUCUGCAGCGUGGAACUGAGAAUUUGCUGCCUGUAUUAUAUGUGGUUUUCUAGAUCCGAGUCUUUUUUUAUCUGCACGAUUCAGAUCUGGCAACCCCAUCACUCAUGUCUGAAUUGGAUGCAUGCUUGAAGUAUUAAUAUACUACCUUUAAGAUCAUUUCUUACACUUCCCAUUUUCUGUCCAGGUUUUAUGUUUAUUUAUUUCCCCUUCGUGUUGACAGUGACUCAACAGCAGUUGUGCAUGUCAUGAGAAAUUACCAGAUAAGUAUCUGUUCAGUGACAAAGGCCUUGGCUACAUACUAGAUCUUUUCGCCUCUGUUUACUCUGCUGCUGCUACCAGUAUCUCCAUUAAUGACGCAAAGGAGUCGUGCAGAGAUUUUUCUGUCCGUAAGAGCAGACACUUAAUUACCUGAUACAAACCAUACUUUUUAGACAGACAUUUUGUAUGUCAGUCUCUAACCUCCACAGUGAGGUGUAGAGCAGGCAAUACACCCUGUAAAAUGUCUUAUUGCUAAAAUUUAAAUGUUAAGAAAUAGGGUGUGCUCGCCCAGUUUUAAUGCAGGUUAUUUGCCCAGAGUGUUACCGAGCGCUCUCUGAAUGUUGCUGCUGACGACGCUUCAGCCGCUUCUGUUUGCUGGUUCCGUCAUCAGACGGCUGUUGACUGCCGAAACUAUUUUUCCUAUCAAAUCUAAACCUGCAGUUCUAAUAGAAAUCUGUUGCUGGAUCUUAAGUUGUGUUUGGUGAAAGAUGGCGGUACAAUUAAUCACGUCAUUUCUGGCAAAAUGUACUUCAGAGGGGGAUCUGUAGAGGAAGACGGCAGCUAAAUGCAAUAGGAAAUCAUAGGAAUUUAGUACCAACUGCUAUUUGUGCCUUUUAAAAUGCUAAGGUCUCUAACUCUAAAUUUCUACUGUAUAAAAACAGGAAGAUAAUUUGGCAGCUGUUUCAUUCUGUCAGCUUACGAGUGUUUUUAGGACAGGAAUAUCAGAGCUGUGUCUGAAGCCAUGUGGAGCUGCAGGAGUUUUCUGAGCAGGUUCUCGCAUCCUUUCCGGAUCUGGGACUGUUUAGGGCUGUUUCAUUCUUUCAUCGUCAUUUCUUUGCCAAACUAGCAGCAGAGAAGCUACCUAAGAGAUCUGCGAACUGUAUCCCUGUUUGCUGUCCAGCUGUGACACUGUUCAUUAGUUAAUGCAUAACAUAAAUUUUUGUCUUUGGUUGUAACUGUUAUUAAAACAAAUAUAUUUAUGGUAAGGCUUAUGUUUGGAAACAGCUUUAAAUGUUUCCAAGUACUUUACAAUAAUGCUUUGACAUCUUUCCUUAACUUGCGUACUGUUAUUAAGUAACUUUGCUUGUGACUAGUUGCAGCUGAUUUUCCAUUUUCCUUAAAAGCAGCGCAGGCUUACCUGGUUAUAACAAACUCUUGUCCAGGUAGAAACAAUAAGCAAUUUGAUGGCUUCAGAAUCACUCCAAGUCCGUAUUCACACUGGUCAGAUUUUUGAAAGCUUCCAAAUGAAACAUGAAACAAAUACAAAAGUUGUGUUAAAAUGAGCCAGGACAAAACGUAGAAAAGUUCAGGUAUGUCUGAGUGACUGAAAAAUCUCCGUUUUGCUCUUCUACUUACUUGAAGGAGAAGUCCUUAUACAGUGCCUAGGAUUGUACUGUUUUAUGCUGCAUUCCAGUGCAACAGAAUAGAGUCGGGCAGAUUCCUCUACGUCCCAAGAUUAAUUAAAGCUGAAUAUAAAAAGCUGCAGCGAAGGUAACGCCGCCCAAGGCAGCGGUGUUUGUGUUGUGUUUGCUGAAGCCGCUAUACGUCUCUGUUUUUCAAGGCAGCGUGUAAACGGGCAGUCAGAUCUCUGUGGGAAAAAUUAGUAUUUUUCAAAAUAUUGCUACCGAGACCUUUUUUCUUUGUGCAUUAUUGCAGCUGAUGUUUUGAACAUAAUUGCAGGUGACCUACUAAGGAGAAUGCAGUUAUUUCGGUUAGUCUUUUUGGCCAUUAAAAAGACUGCUAGCAAGAAAGCUAGGCAGCGUAAAAGCAGUAAUUUUGACUGCAACACCCUAAUACUUGCGCUUUUAAAGCGGGGCUUGUAUUUACUUUUUAAAUUGGCUUUUGGUUUUCGUAGCUUCUGAAGGAAAGUUGCACGUGCAUCACGUUCUGUUGGAUGUGCUAGGUGAAUGCACUGGAAAACAGGAAUUCCUCAGGCUGCUUCUGUAAUCAUUGCUGUAGGUGCAGAUAAAGUAUUCAGCCAAGCGUACGUUAGGUUUGUCUAACUUGCAAAUAGUGCUUUAAGGGGAAAAAAUCUGUGUCUGCUUUUGCUGGUGCAGCUUGUAGGGUAGAGCUGUAUGCCACGUUGUGGGAAAGGCCCGGGGUAUUUGUCUGGGGAUGUUUACUGUCGCUCUCUACCUAGCUCCAUCUGUAAAUUUGGUUGCACCCAAAGAAGCUGGUGCAUUAAACUCGUAAGGUUUGAACCAGUUCUAAUGCGUUCUUAAGUUGUGUGACUGUAGUGUUUGUGAGGUUGUACACACGGCUGUUUGACCCCAGCCCGGGUUCAGCGUGGGAGUAGCGGGGUGACUUUCUCAACCUCAUCCCGGAGACUGAGAGAGUUUUCUCUGGCUACGGAGCUCAUGCCAGAUCUACGCUACAAAAUUAUGCAGUAAGUGUUUUCCAGCUCAGGGUCAGAAGUAAUUAUUGUCCUUAGUUGAGGCUGUAUUGGCAGUAUAACUUGAGGUGUAGAAGCACCUCUGAGAAGGAUGUUUUUGUUGGCUUAGCUUAAUGUAGUCCAGGGAGGUGGUAACGCCUGCCAGCAGGAGAGCGCCGGUGGCGUGGCCGCGAGGCUGCUCUCCUGCCGGGACGCUCGGUAGGGCAGACCGGGCCUCAGCUGCCAGUUACUGCCAGGGUCGUUUUGAUGAGGAUGUGGGAGCUGGAACAGAGCCACCAAAGGCUGUGUGUAAAUCUACCAAACAGUCACCAGAUAGUAAGGUAUGUUCACGCUCAGCUGGCCCAAAUGCAAAUCUGCCUUCCAAAAAUCAAAGGCUCACCUGGAGUCUCUUGGAAAGUGUCGAUCGUGGCAAUGGCUUUUGUUAGCUUAAAUCAAGGCCUGUAAGUGUGAGAAUUCAGCUUGUAUGCAGCGUAUCCUGCUUUUCCCCUGGCCCGUUUGUUGUUUGUGUUUCAUCAUUUUACAAAGCUAUUUCUUGCCCCUCACAUGAAUGAGGCCCUCAUGAGCUAUAAGUGGGUGUCAUCAUGUGAAAGAAAGAAUUCUCUGCUGGAUUUUACUGCGAUACUGCCCUUCUGUCUUAUUCCUUUUGUCUUGGGUUAAUGUUCGAAAAUAAUUUGCCAGUAGCAACCACCUCCUCACCUCUCCCCCUUCUCUCCCAUUUAAAUUCAGGCACACUGUACUCUUCUUUUAAAAAAAAAAAAAAAAA
Molecule: non-coding RNA, 5612 nt
Organism: Struthio camelus australis
Lineage: Eukaryota; Metazoa; Chordata; Aves; Struthioniformes; Struthionidae
Source: RefSeq, a predicted model, not a curated record